CUCGGCGGCUCAAACGCGGCUCCUCACCCUCACGUACGCAUCCUCUAAACACCCUACAGUCACCUGAAAUCACCUCUUCUUUACACAAUCGUUUAAUGAAGAAACAAACAUGACUUUUAAAAAGCAUCCGCACGCGAUAAACAUGCGAAAGUGACGGUGAAAAGCGCGGCAACUUCCUGGUUGAAGACGCCAAAUCUUCAUAUCGAUGAUUGACAGACAGAAAAGCGCUGACAUGAGGUUCCUUUUCAACACUGUCAGAGUGAUGAACCUACCGAAGAAAUACAGACAACGCAGUGGAGAUGAGAUGCUGUGAGAUGCUGAUGUGACAUUGUGCUGUGUCUUUUAUACCUUGAGAAAUGUCACCUGAACACCACACCUGUCAGUCAGGCUGGGUCAAAAUGAAACGGGCCAAAAACACUGACCACACCUGUCAGGUAAGGUAAAAAUGAAACAGGACAUCUUUUUUGAAUGCCUAAAUUCUGGUAUUCCUGGAGGAAGUUCCUGUCAGUGUGAAAGUGUGGGGGUGUUUAACUGAUACUGUGGGCGGCAUGUUACAGCAUCGUUGCAACUGCUUUUCCACUAAAUAAAUAUGAUUUCUGAAUAUAUUUUAGAUGUUUUUUUUAUUUUCAAACAAUCUUUUUAUGCACUCACCCUCAGGCCAUCCUAGAUGUAUAUGACUAUCUUCUUUGAGAUGAACACAAUCAGUUUAAAAAUAUCCUUGCUCUUCCAUUUUUUGCUCAUUCAGAUUUUUGAAGGCUCCAGGGGGUUAAUAAAGGCCUUCUGAAGUGAAGCGAUGCAUUUUUGUAAGAAAAAUGUCCAUUUUUAAAUUGCAUUUUACAUGCAAUGUAUGAGUAUCGUAAGCUUAGAUGUCUUUGCGGUUCAAACAAAUGGGCUGGUCAACAAACUCAAGCUCCUCUUAUAUCAAAAUCCUCUGACAUUUCUCUCUAAAAUGAUAGUUUUAGACUUCUAACUCGUGACCGGUGUUUUGUUUUGCUCUCUCCUCUGCGUUUCCGCGUUCAUCAUUGCGUCAUGCAUCAGGUCAGAGGUCACUCUUCCACCACAAAAUCGAUGCGUCGUCUGCCGGAAGCUAGUUUUUAUAGUUAAUAAAGUUUAAAUAUGAACAGAAUGUCCAUCAAAAUAAUGAGUAAGCAACAUUUUAAACAAUAUUCAUAAAACUUUAGACACAUUAUCCAUAUUUUUUUGUUGGAAAGGUGGAAAUAUGUAGUGGAAAAGCUAUGCACAUAAAUGCAUUAGGCAGAUGCAUGUUUUGGUUUAUCAAGUAUAGUUGAACUUAAUUCAGUUAUUUUGAUAGUAAUUACAUAAUUACUAACAAUGAUCGCACGUUGUGAGUACGAGAAGCUGAGAUGUAUUACGAGAAAAGUCACCCAGGUGUAACGGUAAAGCAUCAUUUUAUCAAAAGCUUAAGAUGCAUUGUUCUGUUCUGAUUGACGUCAUUUCUUUUCCCUUCGGCACUGAAGGUUCCCUGCUCAUGUCAAACGUGUGACGUGUUAUGGUGAAAGUUGGAAGGCCUGUAGCUGGAAAUGAAAGUGAAAGUGCUCUCACUGUUCAUGCUGACACAAGAGAAUCACUUUAGUGGAACUGAA
Molecule: long non-coding RNA, 1604 nt
Organism: Megalobrama amblycephala (Wuchang bream)
Lineage: Eukaryota; Metazoa; Chordata; Actinopteri; Cypriniformes; Xenocyprididae
Exons: 3
Source: RefSeq, a predicted model, not a curated record